Molecule: ribosomal RNA, 484 nt
Filed under: uncultured bacterium
Lineage: Bacteria
Description: partial 16S ribosomal RNA
Rfam family: Bacterial small subunit ribosomal RNA
Source: RNAcentral
AUUGAACGCUGGCGGCAGGCCUAACACAUGCAAGUCGAGCGGAUGAAGGGAGCUUGCUCCUGGAUUCAGCGGCGGACGGGUGAGUAAUGCCUAGGAAUCUGCCUGGUAGUGGGGGAUAACGUCCGGAAACGGGCGCUAAUACCGCAUACGUCCUGAGGGAGAAAGUGGGGGAUCUUCGGACCUCACGCUAUCAGAUGAGCCUAGGUCGGAUUAGCUAGUUGGUGGGGUAAAGGCCUACCAAGGCGACGAUCCGUAACUGGUCUGAGAGGAUGAUCAGUCACACUGGAACUGAGACACGGUCCAGACUCCUACGGGAGACAGCAGUGGGGAAUAUUGGACAAUGGGCGAAAGCCUGAUCCAGCCAUGCCGCGUGUGUGAAGAAGGUCUUCGGAUUGUAAAGCACUUUAAGUUGGGAGGAAGGGCAGUAAGUUAAUACCUUGCUGUUUUGACGUUACCAACAGAAUAAGCACCGGCUAACUUUGUG